GAUGAACGCUGGCGGCGUGCCUAACACAUGCAAGUCGAACGGAAAGGCCCUGCUUUUGUGGGGUGCUCGAGUGGCGAACGGGUGAGUAACACGUGAGUAACCUGCUCUUGACUUUGGGAUAACUUCAGGAAACUGGGGCUAAUACCGGAUAGGAGCUCCUGCUGCAUGGAGGGGGUUGGAAAGUUUCGGCGGUAGGGGAUGGACUCGCGGCUUAUCAGCUUGUUGGUGGGGUAGUGGCUUGCCAAGGAAUUGACGGAUAGCCGGCCUGAGAGGGUGACCGGCCACCAUAGUACUACGAGACGCACCAGUCGCGUACGGUGGGCAACGGUGGGGAGUCUUGCACAAUGGGCGGGAGCCGGUUACGGCGGCGCCGCGUGCGUGAUGACGGCCUUCGGGUUAUAAACCGCUUUCGCCUGAGACGAAGCGUGAGUGACGGUAAUGAAUAAAGAAGCACCGGCUAACUACGUG
Molecule: ribosomal RNA, 468 nt
Filed under: uncultured bacterium
Lineage: Bacteria
Description: partial 16S ribosomal RNA
Rfam family: Bacterial small subunit ribosomal RNA
Source: RNAcentral